GAAUAUUGGACAAUGGGCGGAAGCCUGAUCCAGACAUGCCGCGUGUGUGAAGAAGGCCUUUUGGUUGUAAAGCACUUUCAGCGAGGAGGAGGAGCUCUUGGUUAAUACGCACUAUGCUAGGACGUUACUCGCGGAAUAAGCACCGGCUAACUCUGUCCCAGACGCCGCGGUAAUACAGAGGGUGCAAGCGUUAAUCGGAUUUACUGGGCGUAAAGCGCGCGUAGGUGGCCAAUUAAGUCAAAUGUGAAAUCCCCGAGCUUAACUUGGGAAUUGCAUUCGAUACUGGUUGGCUAGAGUAUGGGAGAGGAUGGUAGAAUUCCAGGUGGAGCGGUGAAAAGCGUAGAGAUCUGGAGGAAUACCGAUGGCGAAGGCAGCCAUCUGGCCUAAUACUGACACUGGGGUUCGAAAGCAUGGGGAGCAAACA
RNAcentral lists this ribosomal RNA (424 nucleotides) under uncultured bacterium. Its description in RNAcentral is "partial 16S ribosomal RNA". It matches the Rfam family "Bacterial small subunit ribosomal RNA", at positions 359 to 774 of the family's 1533-position model. The record is from RNAcentral.